CCUACGGGGUGCAGCAGUGGGGAAUAUUGGACAAUGGGCGAAAGCCUGAUCCAGCCAUGCCGCGUGUGUGAAGAAGGCCUUCGGGUUGUAAAGCACUUUCAGUGGGGAAGAAAGCCUUGGGGCUAAUACCCUCGAGGAAGGACAUCACCCACAGAAGAAGCACCGGCUAACUCCGUGCCAGCAGCCGCGGUAAUACGGAGGGUGCGAGCGUUAAUCGGAAUUACUGGGCGUAAAGCGCGCGUAGGUGGUCUGAUAAGCCGGUUGUGAAAGCCCCGGGCUCAACCUGGGAACGGCAUCCGGAACUGUCAGGCUAGAGUGCAGGAGAGGAAGGUAGAAUUCCCGGUGUAGCGGUGAAAUGCGUAGAGAUCGGGAGGAAUACCAGUGGCGAAGGCGGCCUUCUGGACUGACACUGACGCUGAGGUGCGAAAGCGUGGGUAGCAAACAGGAUUAGAUACCCCUGUAGUC
Molecule: ribosomal RNA, 465 nt
Filed under: Vreelandella stevensii
Lineage: Bacteria; Pseudomonadati; Pseudomonadota; Gammaproteobacteria; Oceanospirillales; Halomonadaceae
Description: partial 16S ribosomal RNA
Rfam family: Bacterial small subunit ribosomal RNA
Source: RNAcentral